This 828-nucleotide long non-coding RNA is filed under the name Rattus norvegicus (Norway rat). RNAcentral describes it as "long non-coding RNA NONRATT007383". Lineage: Eukaryota; Metazoa; Chordata; Mammalia; Rodentia; Muridae. The record is from RNAcentral.
UUUGUGGUCCUAGAGACUAAACUCGGGACAAGUGCUCUGCUAGUGUGUUCGAUCCCUAGGCCUCCUCAUCUAGAACUCUGGAUUCUCCUGGCUGUAGGUUCCAGUGCUGGGGCUGGCAGUGGAGAGUUCCACGUGUACAGGCACCUACGUCGGAGAGAGUACCAGCGGCAGGACUACAUGGAUGCCAUGGCUGAGAAGGCAAGUGAGCCAUGGAGCCUAGUGACUCUGGUCAGGCUUGGCACUGCGGGCUGCUCGCACUAGAACAGUGACCUGUAGGACUUUGCAUGUGUAUGGAAGGACACUGCACAGUCCUCCUCUCUCUAGGCCAUUUGCCUAGUAACGGGACGGCAAUGCGGGCUUCCACAUGGUUGGGGAUUUCCUCCUCUCUUUUCUCUGUUGGGCUGAGUGCAGACACUGAGAGGGUUUGAGUUUUCUUGGGGCUUACAUUUCUUCAUGUCAGGUGACAAGUAAUGUGUUAUUUUAAGAGUUUAAGAAUUGCUUUAGAAAUUGUACUCUAAGAACCAUUAAGAGUACCAGGUGCAGCAGGCAGAGAUGGCACACAUCCUUAACCCCAGGACUCUGGAGGCAGAGGCAGGUGGAUCUCUGAGUCUGAGGCUAGCCUGGUCUACAGAGUGAAUUCUAGGACAGCCAGGGCUACACAGAGAAACCCUGUCUCAAAGAAAAAACAAGCAAAGUGCCAGUUGUGGUGAUACACGCCUUUAAUCCCAGCAUUCAAGUGGCAGAAGCAGGAGGAUCUCUGUGAGUUCCAGGCCAAACAGGGCUACAAACUAGAGACUAUGACUCAAAAAACAAACAGUAAACAGCAGU